Molecule: ribosomal RNA, 301 nt
Filed under: uncultured bacterium
Lineage: Bacteria
Description: partial 16S ribosomal RNA
Rfam family: Bacterial small subunit ribosomal RNA
Source: RNAcentral
CAGUAGCCGCGGGAAUACGUAGGGUGCAAGCGUUAAUCGGAAUUACUGGGCGUAAAGCGUGCGCAGGCGGUUAUAUAAGACAGAUGUGAAAUCCCCGGGCUCAACCUGGGAACUGCAUUUGUGACUGUAUAGCUAGAGUACGGCAGAGGGGGAUGGAAUUCCGCGUGUAGCAGUGAAAUGCGUAGAUAUGCGGAGGAACACCGAUGGCGAAGGCAAUCCCCUGGGCCUGUACUGACGCUCAUGCACGAAAGCGUGGGGAGCAAACAGGAUUAGAGACCCGCGUAGUCCCUGUCUCUUAUAU